RNAcentral lists this ribosomal RNA (466 nucleotides) under uncultured bacterium. RNAcentral's name for it is "bacterial SSU rRNA". It matches the Rfam family "Bacterial small subunit ribosomal RNA", at positions 34 to 518 of the family's 1533-position model. The record is from RNAcentral.
CGCUGGCGGCGUGCCUCAUACAUGCAAGUCGAGCGGUCUGGCGCAAGUCAGAUAGCGGCGGACGGGUGAGUAACACGUGGGUAACCUGCCCUAAAGACCGGGAUAACAUCCUGAAAGGGAUGCUAAUACCGGGUAUGGUCUUCCAGUCGCAUGGCAGGAAGAAGAGAGGAGCAAUCCGCUUUAGGAUGGGCCCGCGUCCCAUUAGCUAGUUGGUGAGGUAACAGCUCACCAAGGCGACGAUGGGUAGCCGACCUGAGAGGGUGACCGGCCACACUGGGACUGAGACACGGCCCAGACUCCUACGGGAGGCAGCAGUCGGGAAUAUUGGGCAAUGGGGGGAAAAACCCCUGACCCAGCAACGCCGCGUGAGUGACGAAGGCCUUCGGGUCGUAAAGCUCUGUCCUUGGGGACGAACGAUGACGGUACCCAAGAAGAAAGCCACGGCUAACUACGUGCCAGCCGCCGC